This 27-nucleotide non-coding RNA is filed under the name Rattus norvegicus (Norway rat). The record is from RNAcentral. Lineage: Eukaryota; Metazoa; Chordata; Mammalia; Rodentia; Muridae.
UGGAAAUGACUGUUGGCAACAAUGCCC